RNAcentral lists this ribosomal RNA (221 nucleotides) under uncultured bacterium. Its description in RNAcentral is "partial 16S ribosomal RNA". It matches the Rfam family "Bacterial small subunit ribosomal RNA", at positions 524 to 744 of the family's 1533-position model. The record is from RNAcentral.
UACGUAGGGGGCGAGCGUUGUCCGGAUUUAUUGGGCGUAAAGAGCGUGUAGGCGGCCAGGAAGGUCGCUGUGAAAACUCGGGAGCUAACCCUCGAGAUGUCGGCGGAAACCAUCUGGCUAGAGUCCGGAAGAGGAGAGUGGAAUUCCUGGUGUAGCGGUGAAAUGCGCAGAUAUCAGGAAGAAUACCCGUGGCGAAGGCGGCUCUCUGGGACGGUACUGAC